GAUGAAGAACGUAGCGAAAUGCGAAAAGUAAUGUGAAUUGCAGAAUUCAGUGAACCAUCGAAUCUUUGAACGCACAUUGCGCCCGCUGGAACUCCGGCGGGCACGCCUGUCCGAGCGUCAUUUCAACCCUCAGGCCCCCCUUCGCGGGCGGGCCUGGUGUUGGGGCCCGGCCGCUACCCUGCGGCCGUCCCCUAAAUCCAGUGGCGGCCUCGCCGUGAUCCCUUGCGUAGUAAUGCCCCUCGCACCGGAGAGCGCCGUGGCCACGCCGUAAAACCCCCAAUUUUCAAUGGUUGACCUCGGAUCAGGUGGGAAUACCCGCUGAACUUAAGCAUAUCAAUAAGCGGAGGA
RNAcentral lists this unclassified non-coding RNA (348 nucleotides) under soil metagenome. RNAcentral's name for it is "partial contains 5.8S ribosomal RNA, internal transcribed spacer 2, and large subunit ribosomal RNA". The stretch from base 1 to 120 matches the Rfam family "5.8S ribosomal RNA", at positions 35 to 154 of the family's 154-position model. The record is from RNAcentral.